UCCCUUUUUCUUGUGUUUAUAGAGAGAAGGCAACACCCAGCUCCAUUCCGAACCUGGCAGUUAAGCUUCUCUUCGCCGAUGAUACUGCAUCUUUCAGGUGUGGGAAUGUAGGUCGAUGCAGGGAUAGGGAAA
This 132-nucleotide ribosomal RNA is filed under the name Helicobacter hepaticus ATCC 51449. The record is from RNAcentral. Lineage: Bacteria; Pseudomonadati; Campylobacterota; Epsilonproteobacteria; Campylobacterales; Helicobacteraceae.